UACGUAGGGGGCAAGCGUUGUCCGGAUUUAUUGGGCGUAAAGAGCUCGUAGGCGGUUUGGCAAGUCGGGUGUGAAAUUUCGAGGCUCAACCUCGAAACGCCACUCGAUACUGCCAUGACUGGAGUCCGGUAGAGGAGUGCGGAAUUCCUGGUGUAGCGGUGAAAUGCGCAGAUAUCAGGAGGAACACCUAUUGCGAAGGCAGCUCGCUGGGACGUAACUGACGCUGAGACGCGAAAGCGUGGGGAGCAAACAGG
RNAcentral lists this ribosomal RNA (254 nucleotides) under uncultured bacterium. RNAcentral's name for it is "partial 16S ribosomal RNA". It matches the Rfam family "Bacterial small subunit ribosomal RNA", at positions 524 to 776 of the family's 1533-position model. The record is from RNAcentral.